Molecule: ribosomal RNA, 570 nt
Filed under: uncultured Planctomycetota bacterium
Lineage: Bacteria; Pseudomonadati; Planctomycetota
Description: bacterial SSU rRNA
Rfam family: Bacterial small subunit ribosomal RNA
Source: RNAcentral
GCUGGCGGCAUGCCUAACACAUGCAAGUCGAACGCUAUUUAUAGAGUGGCGCACGGGUGAGUAACGCGUGGGAACCUGCCUUUUUCUGCGGGAUAACGGUUGGAAACGACCGCUAAUACCGCAUACGCCCUACGGGGGAAAGGUCCGCCGGAGAAAGAGGGGCUCGCGUCUGAUUAGCUUGUUGGUAGGGUAAUGGCCUACCAAGGCGACGAUCAGUAGCUGGUCUGAGAGGAUGAUCAGCCACACUGGGACUGAGACACGGCCCAGACUCCUACGGGAGGCAGCAGUGGGGAAUAUUGGACAAUGGGGGCAACCCUGAUCCAGCAAUGCCGCGUGUGUGAUGAAGGCCUUAGGGUUGUAAAGCACUUUCACUGGUGAAGAUGAUGACGGUAACCAGAGAAGAAGCCCCGGCUAACUUCGUGCCAGCAGCCGCGGUAAUACGAAGGGGGCGAGCGUUGUUCGGAAUUACUGGGCGUAAAGGGCGCGUAGGCGGUCUUUUAAGUUAGGCGUGAAAGCCCCGGGCUCAACCCGGGAACUGCGCUUAAGACUGGAAGACUAGAAAACGGAAGA